GAUGAAGAACGUAGCGAAAUGCGAUAAGUAAUGUGAAUUGCAGAAUUCAGUGAAUCAUCGAAUCUUUGAACGCACAUUGCGCCCCUUGGUAUUCCGAGGGGCAUGCCUGCUCGAGCGUCAUUUCACCACUCAAGCCUGGCUUGGUGUUGGGCGACGUCCUCUUUGGGGACGCGCCUCGAAACGCUCGGCGGCGUGGCACCGGCUUUAAGCGUAGCAGAAUCUUUCGCUUUGGAAGUCGGGGCCCCGUCUGCCGGAAGACCUGCUCGCAAGGUUGACCUCGGAUCAGGCAGGGAUACCCGCUGAACUUAAGCAUAUCAAUAAGCGGAGGA
RNAcentral lists this unclassified non-coding RNA (329 nucleotides) under soil metagenome. RNAcentral describes it as "partial contains 5.8S ribosomal RNA, internal transcribed spacer 2, and large subunit ribosomal RNA". The stretch from base 1 to 120 matches the Rfam family "5.8S ribosomal RNA", at positions 35 to 154 of the family's 154-position model. The record is from RNAcentral.